Molecule: transfer RNA, 65 nt
Filed under: Xenos cf. moutoni RZ-2020
Lineage: Eukaryota; Metazoa; Arthropoda; Insecta; Strepsiptera; Xenidae
Also listed under: 1 other name
Description: tRNA-Ile
Source: RNAcentral
AAUAAAGUGCCCGAAUUAAAAAGGAAUAUUUUGAUAGAAUAUAAAUAUAUAAUCUAUCUUUAUUA